This is a long non-coding RNA of Hevea brasiliensis (rubber tree), 1134 nucleotides long. RefSeq lists it as uncharacterized. The transcript is spliced from 2 exons. The record is from RefSeq and is a predicted model, not a curated record. NCBI's taxonomy places the organism in Eukaryota, Viridiplantae, Streptophyta, Magnoliopsida, Malpighiales, Euphorbiaceae.
UUUCAGAUGGUAUGCCAUGCCCCGUGUUUCUUUUCAAGUUUGUUCCAUGUUGUGUUUUUAAUGAAGUAACAUGAGGCAUGUUAGUUUACUUGUGAGGUCACAUGCCUAGUGCUACCCUUGCACACUGCCCAUUUUUCUUAAAACCCUAAACUUAUCUUUUUCUCUCUAUCCCUUUUCUUCUUCACUCUCGGCAUUACCCAUUCCCCUUUUCUCUCAACACCACACUACCCAGCCUUAUUUCCUUCCAUUUUUCUUUGAAUGGUAAGGCAAAAACACUAUUCCACAAGAAAACCAGUUCAUCCUUCUCGUUGCAAACCACUUUCAAUGGCGAACUCUAGGUCACCUUCCCCAAUUACAAAUCCACUAUCAUGACCACUCUUUUCACAGCCAACACUAUCCUCUCAAUUAUCCACAGACCCUGUUCUUCCUCCCCAACAACAAGAAUUACCUCUAUAACCAACCUUUGAAUCAGAACCUACAACACAAACCUCUGUAAAUCCCUCAACCCUCUCCACCUACAGUACAAUCUGCCCUAAAAACCCAUUUCAAGACAGUUGCUAAGAAGAAAGUGAACCCUAAUUUCAAACUCAAAAAGCCUUCUUCUCCUAGCAAGCGCAAAGAACCCAUUUCUGCCUCUGCUUUGACAACCAAGAAACCUAGGGUUUUCAUUCUUGAACCCAUUAGCAAGAGAACUCGCUCCUCUGUCUCAACCCCAUUGAGUACUCCUCGAAUCCCAGUGUCAAAAUCAGCAUCGGUUGCAUCUUCUAAGGAACCUAGUCCUCAACCCGCUACUGCUAAGUCCAAGUCCAAGGUUUCUGCAUCAAAAGCAGUACCUGUUGCUUCUUUUGGUAAUGAUAUUUUAGAGGAGUUUGGGGAUCUUUGGCCCAUUUUCAUACCGUAGCCGCAGUUGAAGAAACAAGGGAGAAAGCACUUCAAGCUUACAUCUAUCAAAUCUCCUUUUCUUUUAUUGAUUUGAUUUCAAUAUUUAAUUUUCAAUGUUAGGAUGUCUAUUUAUAUUGAAUCAAUUAAUUUGGGUUUUGAUUUCUCUAUUGAUAUGAACUAAGAUUACGUUUGAUAGAGCGUAAUGUAAUGUAAUAUAAUUAAUUAUGUAAUACAAUCAAAAUUAUAAUGUAA